RNAcentral lists this long non-coding RNA (443 nucleotides) under Dromaius novaehollandiae (emu). Its description in RNAcentral is "lncRNA (ENSDNVG00000009236.1)". The record is from RNAcentral. Lineage: Eukaryota; Metazoa; Chordata; Aves; Casuariiformes; Dromaiidae.
AACUCGCUUGGAGCAAAUUGCAGCAUUAAAGCUUCAUCUCAYUGGAGCUGCAGGAUUUCAACUGCCUGUUCAGCUUUGACACGAGCCCUUCAGAUCUGAAGCUGCACCUGCUCCUAAGAUGCAGACUUUCCACCACACGCUGGUUUUGCUAAUGUAGGCUCCUCAAGAGUGAASCCUGGAGUGAUCCUGGGGGAGUAAAAUGCCGCAGAGAAACCUCCACUUGCAAAACUCCUGCCACUGCUUGCACAGAUAUCAGCUUGUGCCUUACCGAUGGUGAACAUUGCAACCACGACUAUGAAUUAGGAUCUUCCCCCCAGGAUGUUCCUAAGCUGGUACCCAGCACCUGGAAGGAGAGACUGCGCAGUGUUUCAAGAGUUUUCCUUAAUCCUACGYGGGAAUACGUGAAGGCUCAAACUGCUGUAGACCAGAUGCACCCAGCAAAG